Molecule: long non-coding RNA, 241 nt
Filed under: Chinchilla lanigera (long-tailed chinchilla)
Lineage: Eukaryota; Metazoa; Chordata; Mammalia; Rodentia; Chinchillidae
Description: lncRNA (ENSCLAG00000024135.1)
Source: RNAcentral
CUUUGCAGCACUGGGAAUGGCUCUGUCUUUGCUGGUGUAGCUGCUCCCAAGCACAACUGUCCUGUCUGGGAGCUUCUGAAUGCUUCUCUCCCUGCUACUCUUUCUCCAUACCCAGGACCUAGCAGGCUUGAUCAGCCACAAGAACAAGAGCCCUAGAAUCUGUCUGCGGAAGAGGUCCCGGAGAGCUGAUCCCCCAGCACUGGAACCCUGCAAAAACCCACAGACACAGGAUUAAAUGUCC